UUUUUUUUUUUUUUUUUUUUAGACAAUUCAAAAUUGGAAUUCGUUUUCAAGAGCAUCAGGAAACCCUUCCCUCGUCUUCUGACCAACAUUUUCCCUAGCUUUCUUGAUGUCGCAUUAUAUUUUGAUUGGUUUGACCUCUUUAUUUGGUAAAUGUAGUCUAACGGUGCCAUAUUCAUGCAGAUGAGGCUGACUACUCCACAA
This 201-nucleotide unclassified non-coding RNA is filed under the name Hevea brasiliensis (rubber tree). Lineage: Eukaryota; Viridiplantae; Streptophyta; Magnoliopsida; Malpighiales; Euphorbiaceae. The record is from RNAcentral.